UCGAUACUUCUCCCUCUUCUCCAUUUCUGACUCCGUCCGUUCUCUUACCACCGUCGGAGACACAAAUGAUAGAGCAGUGGGUUUUGCUUCUGGGUUUUCCGUCGAUCUCGCAGGCUUUUUGGUUUGUGGGUUUUCACCGUCAACAACCACUGACCGACGAUGCAAAACCCAGGUUUAGUUGCCUUUCUGAAUGCAUAAUGUGAAAAUACCUGCAGCUUCUAGUGAAGGUCUCCUCAAAAAGGCUCUCUCUUCAGAAUGCAGAUCAUAUGGGUAUUUGCAAAUAAGUAGGAUUGGAAACUUCUGAUCUAAUUCUGCCAUGGCUUUGAAGAAUUCACAUGGUUAAAUUGUGCUUCCAAUGGUGUAAUUUUUUUUGUCGAAAUGAACCAACUUGAAGAGUUCAUCAUUGUAAUCUCCAAUAUCUCUUCAGAUUUGCUCUGCUCGUUGACUGAGAAGCUCGAGUAUCAUGUACCAUAUACCAUCUAUAUAUGAUGUAUAUUCAUGAAUAUGUUCCCUGUCUUGUUCAUGGUAUUGCCUACAUGAGUUAUUGGAUCUAUUUAUCCAAAUAGUAAAGAUGAAUUGUCAAUUCAAUGCCAGUUUAUUUUGAUAGUUGUAAUGGUUCUAUGUUCCAUAAAAACAGUGUGACAACAAUCUGGGUGUAUUUUAGAAUUUUCGGUAUUUC
Non-coding RNA from Corylus avellana, 679 nucleotides. NCBI's taxonomy places the organism in Eukaryota, Viridiplantae, Streptophyta, Magnoliopsida, Fagales, Betulaceae. The record is from RefSeq and is a predicted model, not a curated record.